This is a transfer RNA of Grosmannia clavigera kw1407, 73 nucleotides long. It matches the Rfam family "tRNA". Rfam says of the family: Transfer RNA (tRNA) molecules are approximately 80 nucleotides in length. The record is from Rfam. NCBI's taxonomy places the organism in Eukaryota, Fungi, Ascomycota, Sordariomycetes, Ophiostomatales, Ophiostomataceae.
GGAGUAAUAGCUCAGAUGGGAGAGCGCCAGCCUGAAGAGCUGGAGGUCCUCGGUUCGAUCCCGAGUUGCUCCA